GAUGAACGCUGGCGGUGUGCCUAAUACAUGCAAGUCGAACGAGCUCUUCGGAGCGAGUGGCGGACGGGUGAGUAACACGUUGGUACCUACCCCGAAGUGGGGAAUAACUGCCCGAAAGGGUGGCUAAUACCGCAUAAUACCGCAAGGUUAAAGCAGUAAUGCGCUUCGGGAGGGCCUGCGUCCCAUUAGCUUGUUGGUAGUGUAAUGGACUACCAAGGCAACGAUGGGCAGCUGGAUCGAGAGGUUGACCAGCCACACUGGGACUGAGAUACGGCCCAGACUCCUACGGGAGGCAGCAGUGGGGAAUAUUGGACAAUGGGCGCAAGCCUGAUCCAGCAAUGCCGCGUGAGUGAGGAAGGCCUUAGGGUUGUAAAGCUCUUUCGGCGGGACGAUGAAUGACGGUACCCGCAGAAGAAGCCCCGGCUAACUUCGUGCCAGCAGCCG
This 444-nucleotide ribosomal RNA is filed under the name uncultured bacterium. RNAcentral describes it as "bacterial SSU rRNA". It matches the Rfam family "Bacterial small subunit ribosomal RNA", at positions 28 to 517 of the family's 1533-position model. The record is from RNAcentral.